Molecule: ribosomal RNA, 351 nt
Filed under: uncultured bacterium
Lineage: Bacteria
Description: bacterial SSU rRNA
Rfam family: Bacterial small subunit ribosomal RNA
Source: RNAcentral
AAUCAACGCUGGCGGCGUGCCUCAGACAUGCAAGUCGAACGCGAAAGUUCCCUUCGGGGAGCGAGUAGAGUGGCGCACGGGUGAGUAACACGUAGGUAAUUUACCUCGGGUGGGGAAGUAACAGCCGGAAACGGCUGCUAAUACCGCAUAAUGCAGCGGCUCGACAUCGAGACAGUUGUUAAAGCGGGGGAUCGCAAGACCUCGCGCCUGAAGAGAAGCCUGCGGCAGAUUAGCUAGUUGGUGGGGUAAGUGGCUCACCAAGGCGACGAUCUGUAGCCGGCCUGAGAGGGCGGUCGGCCACACUGACACUGACAUACGGGUCAGACUCCUACGGGAGGCAGCAGUCGGGAA